GAUGAACGCUGGCGGCGUGCCUAACACAUGCAAGUCGAACGAAGCGUAUCUGACGGAGAUUCGUCGAAGCCGGAUAUGACUUAGUGGCGGACGGGUGAGUAAUGUAUGAGCAACCUGCCUUUCAGAGGGGGACAACAGUUGGAAACGACUGCUAAUACCGCAUAAUGUAUUUGGGUGGCAUCACCUGGAUACCAAAGGAGCAAUCCGCUGAAAGAUGGGCUCAUAUCUGAUUAGCUUGUUGGCGGGGUAACAGCCCACCAAGGCGACGAUCAGUAGCCGGACUGAGAGGUUGAACGGCCACAUUGGGACUGAGAUACGGCCCAG
Molecule: ribosomal RNA, 324 nt
Filed under: uncultured bacterium
Lineage: Bacteria
Description: bacterial SSU rRNA
Rfam family: Bacterial small subunit ribosomal RNA
Source: RNAcentral